RNAcentral lists this non-coding RNA (104 nucleotides) under Chromera velia. Lineage: Eukaryota; Chromeraceae. The record is from RNAcentral.
UUUCGUCUUCUUUUCUUUUUGUCUCUCUUCCUUUCUCUUUCUCUGUGUGUCAUCGUUGGGGGGUGGUUAAAGCCGGGCAGAAUGGGAGCAACUGAUUGAAGGAA